This 493-nucleotide ribosomal RNA is filed under the name uncultured bacterium. RNAcentral describes it as "partial 16S ribosomal RNA". It matches the Rfam family "Bacterial small subunit ribosomal RNA", at positions 30 to 507 of the family's 1533-position model. The record is from RNAcentral.
AUUGAACGCUGGCGGCAUGCUUUACACAUGCAAGUCGAACGGCAGCGAGGAGAAGCUUGCUUCUCUGUCGGCGAGUGGCGAACGGGUGAGUAUAGCAUCGGAACGUGCCAAGUAGUGGGGGAUAACCAAACGAAAGUUUGGCUAAUACCGCGUAAGCUCUAAGGAGGAAAGUAGGGGACCUAAAUAAGGCCUUACGCUAUUUGAUCGGCCGAUGUCGGAUUAGCUAGUUGGUGGGGUAAUGGCUCACCAAGGCAAUGAUCCGUAGCGGGUCUGAGAGGACGAUCCGCCACACUGGGACUGAGACACGGCCCAGACUCCUACGGGAGGCAGCAGUGGGGAAUUUUGGACAAUGGGGGAAACCCUGAUCCAGCCAUGCCGCGUGUAUGAAGAAGGCCUUAGGGUUGUAAAGUACUUUUGUUGGGGAAGAAAAGCUAGUUUUUAAUAAAAAUUAUUGAUGACGUUACCUAAAGAAUAAGCACCGGCUAACUACGUG